This 255-nucleotide ribosomal RNA is filed under the name uncultured bacterium. Its description in RNAcentral is "partial 16S ribosomal RNA". It matches the Rfam family "Bacterial small subunit ribosomal RNA", at positions 524 to 776 of the family's 1533-position model. The record is from RNAcentral.
CACGUAGGCACCAAGCGUUGUCCGGAUUUAUUGGGCGUAAAGAGCUCGUAGGCGGUUCAGUAAGUCAGGUGUGAAAUCUUUGGGCUUAACCCAAAGCGUGCACUUGAUACUGCUGUGACUUGAGUUCGGUAGGGGGAGUGGGGAAUUCCUAGUGUAGCGGUGAAAUGCGCAGAUAUUAGGAGGAACACCGGUGGCGAAGGCGCCACUCUGGGCCGAAACUGACGCUGAGGAGCGAAAGCGUGGGUAGCAAACAGG